GUCACGAAUCUUCCACAAUGGGCGAAAGCCUGAUGGAGCAAUGCCGCGUGCCAGAUGAAGCCCUUCGGGGUGUAAAUGGCUUUUGUCAGGGACGAAACAAUGACGGUACCUGACGAAUAAGAGGUUGCUAACUCUGUGCCAGCAGCAGCGGUAAUACAGAGACCUCGAGCGUUAUCCGGAAUCACUGGGCGUAAAGCGUGCGCAGGCGGUUUGGUAAGUCAGGUGUUAAAUCCUAGGGCUCAACUCUAGGACCGCACUUGAAACUACUAAACUCGAGUCUGGGAGAGGUGAGUGGAAUUGCUGGUGUAGGGGUAAAAUCCGUUUAUAUCAGCAGGAACACCAGAGGCGAAAGCGGCUCACUGGAACAGUACUGACGCUGUUGCACGAAAGCGUGGGGAGCGAAUAGGAUUAGAAACCCUUGUAGUCC
RNAcentral lists this ribosomal RNA (427 nucleotides) under uncultured bacterium. Its description in RNAcentral is "bacterial SSU rRNA". It matches the Rfam family "Bacterial small subunit ribosomal RNA", at positions 354 to 796 of the family's 1533-position model. The record is from RNAcentral.